RNAcentral lists this ribosomal RNA (601 nucleotides) under Lactiplantibacillus plantarum. Its description in RNAcentral is "Lactobacillus plantarum partial 16S ribosomal RNA". The stretch from base 1 to 479 matches the Rfam family "Bacterial small subunit ribosomal RNA", at positions 46 to 535 of the family's 1533-position model. The record is from RNAcentral. Lineage: Bacteria; Bacillati; Bacillota; Bacilli; Lactobacillales; Lactobacillaceae.
GCCUAAUACAUGCAGUCGAACGAACUCUGGUAUUGAUUGGUGCUUGCAUCAUGAUUUACAUUUGAGUGAGUGGCGAACUGGUGAGUAACACGUGGGAAACCUGCCCAGAAGCGGGGGAUAACACCUGGAAACAGAUGCUAAUACGGGAUAACAACUUGGACCGCGUGGCCCGAUUUNGANNGUUGUUUCCGGNUUUCUUUUUUGUAUUCCCCCNCGGCGUAUUAGCUAAUUGGUGGGUUGACGGCUCACCAUUGCUCUUACACGUUCCCUACUUGANAAGUAUUCCGCCUUUUGNCCNGGAACCGGGACAAAACUCCUCGGAAANCCCAAGGGAGUUUCUCCAAGUUCANUACAUAUGGGAACAAACCCCCCGGACAAAAAAAAGGUUUUCGCUAAAAAUCCUUGUUUUAAAAAAAAAAAUUUUAAAAANNAAUUUUUGGAGUUUGCUUUUUUUAUAAAAGAACCCAAAUAAAAAGUUCCCCCCCCCCGGAAAACAAAGGUGGAAAAUGUUCCGCNNUUUUNUUUCGAGAAGCGGCGCGCCNUUUUUUUUUUUAAUUUAAUAACCCCCCAUNCCACCCCAAAAAGGCCACCAAUAGGAGAU